UCGGGGUCUGCUGAUAAACCAGCGGUAUCCCAGCCAUAGUCACCAGGGAACUCACCAGUCAAGUAUGAUGGUGUUUGCUCAGAGAAUGGUCCCAAGUACUUUGGGCGGUCUGGGCCGUACCUGUUUGUCGAUUACAGGUUUCUUUGAUCAGAUACUUGAGACUGCUUACGCUAGAAUUACAAUUUUUCUUGCGCCUAGAGCUUUUUGUUUUAAAUUGAAGUUAUGUCUGAUCUCUUUAUUUAUUUUUACAUAAGCUGAAAACUAAUGGCAUAUCGGUAACCAAAAUCAAACAUGCAUGCCACGCUUGAUAAAGAAGCAAUAACACAAGCAAGCUUAGCAACUAAGAAUGUGUAAAAUGUAGUUACCAGAUGCUCUGGGGAGUGGAUUUGACAGUCCUCCUCAUGGUGAUACGGCCACCGUCAGCAACUCCAACCUUGCGGACAAACUCAUUGGAUUGCCUCAAGGCGGUCUGGCCAGCAAAUGCUGAUUGUUGGAUAGCAGAGGUUGCCAUAUGUUCUUAUGCGAAAGCUUUUCCUUUUGUUGCUGAAGCUUCUUUUCGCACUCUGAAUAUGUUUAGGAGCUUAGUGUGAGAUGGGUUAUAUCGGAAAUGGGGAGAUGUUGUGGAUUAGGAAAUCUACACGUCAGCAGCAUCUAAUUGGUUGUGGUAAUGGAUGUGGAUUUCCAUGUAGAUUUUUUCUGAUUAUAAAGAGGUUGGAUUUAUGCCACGUGGGAUUUGAAAGAUCUUGUGGGCGCCAUGUCUUCAACAGAGAAUAGUGGCCACAAGAUAAUCGUAUGUAAAAUUGGCUGGUAGCUCAAUGCCAGAAAAUUGAUCCAUUGAAAAAUCUGGUGUGUCCUUUAACUUAUCACAUAAUUUUUCAACAUAUCUAGGUUUUUUAAAUAUUAGCUCAUAAAUUCAAAGGAUGAGAUAAUUAUUGAGUACUUUCAAAGCCAUUCAAUAGUACAUCUCUUUGCAUAUCUUACGUUUCCCAUAUGUUACUGAAGUCCAAAUGGGAAUUGCUUAAUAUGGAAAGAGCCAGUAGCAUCAUUGGAAUAAACAAAAAAUUUAUUACUGUUUAUUUAUUUACAACGUCGAGAAAGCCCAACUAGCUAGGAAAGGCAGGCUUCUCCGAUACAUGAUCAAUGAAGUGGGACUAUUAACAUAGCAGCAUCAAACAAGACGAUGAUUCUGGUUUACUUUCAAGGCUAUGUGGCCUCUUCUACUCUGUUCUGCUAUAACCUAGCGAAAAGUGAAGGAAUUAUCUGGGUUGUAAUAGUGAGAUAUAGAGAUGUAAAGGAACAUUGAAAAGGGGAUACUCAGAAACGAAACAUAUGGCCGAUGCUGCUGCCUCCUUGAGAACUCUAGCCUUAAAAUACCAGACAAGGACCGGUCUAAGAAUGAAUCUGCAAUGAAGUUUACAGCACGAUGAAUACCCCAUGGCAGUACAGCUAAAAUGAAACAGAUGCCCCACUGCAUCCCAUUCAACCUCUGGUAACCAGCUAGGCUUGUUGCAAACUCAACCACCAGUACUUGCGCAGCUAUAACAAUCAGGAAAACCAUGAGAACGUUAAAUUUUUUUAGGACAACUGGUAGCACCGCCUUCUUUAGUAGGCGCAUGGCAUCGAACUGAUUGAAAACCUGGCAGAGUGUGAAGCUAUUGAAGGUCAUUGCUUUUCGAAUGUCUCUGUUCAUGCCAGGGAUGACCUGCCCUGCAAACUGAAAGAUCAGGAAGACACCAACCUGGCAUAGAACUUGAACUGCUGUGUGUUUCCACAUCACUUUGUCAAGAAGUGACUUGGUCCUCCUAGCCGGUGGAUUGGUGACGGGUUCCUGGUCUUUGAACUCCAUUCUCAUAAUGAGGCCACCCAGCAUAUACAUAAUGCUGUAUACCCAAAUCAACUGAAUUGAUGUUAUAGGGGAUUCCUCCAAAAUCAAUGUUGUGACCAAGGUUAUAAGCAAGCCAGAGGCACAUCCAGUCAGCUGAAGUUUAGUGAACUUCUGAAUGUUGCAGUAAGCACACCUGCCUAGCUUCAAAAUUGGAAGCAAUGAACCAACAGCUGAUAUUACAAUGUCAGAGCACUCUCUGGCCAUUUCAGUGCACUUAUUCUCCUCAGUGAUCCCUACAUCGGCUUCUUUUAAAGCUGGAGUAUCUCUGGUUGAUGACCCUCCAAAGAAGGCAACAACAUGACCUUUUUCUUUCACGCUCUGAACAAGAAGAAGCUUGUCAUCAGCUAGGCAACUGCCCAUUAAAGUCAUUGAAUCCAAUUUGGCCAUCCUUUCAGUGGAAUUCAGUUCUCGGAAUUGUUCACCUUCAAGUGCUAUAUCAUUAGACUCCGGCCUAAAAUUUCCAAGUUCGCAUGCUACUUCUGUGACUGCUAAAAGUUCAUCCUCUGACACCAAUAUUAUUCGUACACCAGCAUUUCUGAGAGCUUCAACUGUUGAUUUGAUCUCUUCUCUCAGACCCGCCAAUGCCAGCAAGUGUAACCCAUUUUCUUUAAUUUCCGAAACCUCUGUUUGACCACAAGCAAAUGCUAUGGGUCUGAGACCACUGUCCUCCAUAUCUUUGAUCAAUUUCUGAAAUCUUCUUUUCUCACCUUUGAUUUCAAAACUUUUCCCCUCGCUAUCAUAGUAGUAUGAACACAUGUUCAGUAUUGUUGAUGCAGUUCCACUCCAGUGCAUAUGCAUAAUUUUAUCUUCAUCACCACCAUUAAUCUUCACCAGAACCCCACAAACUUUGUUAUUAGAGCUCAAUUUUCUAUGCUCUAGGACGGAAAGAUUCUGAUCCACAAACUCCACAUUCAAACUCCUUGAUUUUGCCCAAGAAACCAGCCAAUCGGUCGUUGGCCAGAGAGAAAUCUCAGGCACAAGUACCGAUGCUCCAAUUCCUCGCUCAAGAGCUUGAAGAACUGCUUGGUUGAUUUCAGAGGCCACAUCAUUGUUCACAUCCUUUUCACCAAUACAAAAUUUGCUAACAUCUACACGGUUACACACGAGACCACCAGUCACAUCAAUGCAGAUAACUGAAGCAAUACCCAUCGUGGCACCGGCUGAUAAAUUCUGAGGUUUUGCAUGAUGAUUUAUCAACAGUUUGUCAUUCCAGAAAAAGAGGGAAACUGUAAUCACAAACGGCAUGCCAUGCUGUACUGCUAUCGCUACCACAGUAAGGGCGCUUACCAAAAUGCUAAUUUUUCCUUGAGGUUUUAACAAAAACCUCUCAAAGAUCUUCAUCACCGUCCCCACCGAAACAUUUCCCUUCAGUUCAGGCAAUUCAUGAUCAUCGCCACUGUGUUUCCUCCACAAUAAGCGUAUAAGUGCCACAAGAGCAAUUAGCACAGUGACAGCAAGAGAAAGAUUCUCCAUAUAAGCGUUGGGUUUUUCCGUCUGAGCUUCUAGCAGCGUCUUCUCGUUAGGAUCCUGGCUCACUGAUCUCAGCACCUGGCCAGAUGCUAUGUUCCCCCCAACUGAUAUCAGGAGCAUAGUACCAUGCCCCUCCAUCACCUUUGAACCAGAGAACAGGAAGGGGUUUCGAUCAGGAUCAAUUUCGGAGUUUAGCACAUCAUCCAACAUUAAACCAUCGCUGUUCACAACCAAGCCAUCACCAGGAACUCGAUCCCCCUUCGCCAACCGCACUACAUCGCCCUUUAGCAGAUUGGAUACGGCAAUGAGUUGUUCUCUCCCGCUUCUUACAACUUUCACUUCCAAUUUGUUUUUCUCCUCCCAUUGCUUCUUCUCCAGCUUUCUUGCUCGGCGAAAAUUGGUUACUGCCGGAAAAGUAAGAAGCACAAAAACUGCAAUCAGUAUAGCAGCCCCAUCAUGCCACCCGUCUUUAGGCCCCUGCUCUAUGGUUCCGGUGACAAAUGACAGGGCAGCCGCAACUAACAGGAGGAGAAUGUUGAAAUUGUUGCUAGCCUUGAGUAAGAACAAGAAAAACUCUCUUGCAUGAUUUGGUUUGAUUGUGUUCCAAAUCUGCGGCUGUGGCAAUUGGUCACCCUGGAUUCCAUGCUCCAAGUGGGAACCAAAGGCUGACGCAACUUUUUCAGGACCACCAAUUUCCUUAAGCAAAUUCAGGUUCCUCGCUUUCACAAUCCGGUCAAGAAGGUCAGGAAGUAUCCGGUCUUCACUCUUUUCUUCCUCCACAAUCUCGGACGGAAUGUCAAUGGCAUGUCGAGAUUGAGUGGACAGGUUUCUACAGAGUCCCUGUUCAACAGAUGAUGUUGGCACAGGAGCAUAACUUGUAGUCGAACUUGAAGCUCCUUGAUCCUUGAAAGAUCUUCUGGAAAAACUGUUGCAGGCUUUUGAGACAACGUUGAUGAAGCCAUUUUCGGGAACGGCACUGUCAGUGUUUGAGGGUUCCUGCUGCAGAGAAUCUGAGUCGUUUUCUUGAUUUACAAGUAGGGGUGAUGAAGACGUUGGUGAUGGCAGUAAAUCUUGUCCGGGGAAACAAGUUGUUUUCUUCAGAGAAACAAUAAUGCCCACAGUUAUGCUCCGGCGCCAGAGACGGGCAUACUUGUGAGACGGGGAGGUAGAACUGGUGGUGGUUGCGGUAGUGGUGGCGGAGGCAGUGACGAGCAAGCCAGCGCCGAGAGCAUUGCCAUUGCUGUCACAACUUUGAUUGUUGGUGUUUGUGCGAAACAUGUUUUUUAAUCCAAGCAGCUGCGGAGGGAGUAAAAGAGACAAAACGAGAACCAGAAACAGAAACUACCAAGAGUCCAAUUCAAGUUUCAGCCAAUGAUGGUUGAGUCGAGUGAUUUGACAGCUUCACGAAUUUUUCUUUUCACUUAUGGAGAAAGGCUGGAAAAGUCUGAUGAUUGGCAAGAAAAAAAAAAGGUUUCCUUUUUUAGUGAAGCGAGCAGCGACGAGGAGAAGCACCUGCAUUAUGCUAAUUAUUGAAAGAAGCUAGGUUCUUUCUAGAACUGAAAGCAGAAGAUACAUUGAAAGGCAGUUGAAGUUACCAAGUAACAACUGAUGUGUUAAAAGCACUUGCCCGCAAAUGCUUUUUCAAUCAAAAUAUAAGGCACGGAAUUGUUGGGCGUUAAUAGAUGUUAUCUAUAUAGCCGGCCUCCCUUCCGCGUACGUCGCACAUGCCGCGUUUUUUGAUAAGAGCAGAACGUAAGAAUUUAAUCUUAAUGCAAUGACGUCUGAUUUUUUUGGAUUAAGAUUGAUUAGAAAAAAAAAAAAAAAAAUUCAUAUUGUAAUGAGGCUUAACAUUAGGCUUACGUUAAAUUUUAUAGGGUAUUUUAGUUUUAGGCACCAAAAGUCUAGCAAGUUGCAAGAGAGAAGAGAUGACCCGCCUCGGCUCUUAAAACGCUUUUGCGUCAACAGCUACACUUUUUCCACAACGUGGGCGCGUAUACGCUUAGCAAGUAAUAAUAGCCAGGUAAUUCUUGAGGGGGAAAAAUGGUACAAAAAGGGACUUUGAAAACCAAAAAAAAAAGUCGUAUUCAUGCGUACAAAACUACAAAUGAACCCCUUUAGCCUCGUACGGUGCGGUGAAAUCAAUACACAAUACUCAUGCCACUAACAACUUUUCCUUUCCCAUGUCCUAUUUAGAUUAAUUAAUGGAAAGUGUUCUAGAAAAGAAAAAUGCUCAAGGUCAAAAGACACACCUAGCUACCAAAUGCGGCCUUUCGCAAGCUUGAAAAUACAAAUUCAAGGUUAAACCGACGCGGUUUAGUCAUAGCUAGUGAAUACUGGUUUGGUUUUUAUUUUGGCUUAAGAAUUUACUUAGUGCUUAUAUUUUAAAGAAUAACUCAAAACAUUCCUAUAAUUAAAUAUAUCAUAUUCUUACCCUUAUUUUUUUUCUUUUAUAAUAAUACAUUUCCAAUAAUAUUAUUGAUAUUAAUUAAUUUAUCUAUAAAAAAAUUAAUUAACAAAUUAACUAAUAAUUAUUUAUUAACAAAUUAACCAAUAAACAUCAAUGUGAAAGAACUAAUGUUUUUUUAAACAUGUGCAAUAAUCUUACUAGUAAUUAUUUUAUAAAAAAUUCAUUUACAAAAUUAAUUCUAAAAAUAAAUUAAUAAUAUAAAAAAAUUAUACAAUUUUUUAUGUUACUUUUAAAGUUAAUUUGAUAAAUUAUCAUUUUUUUCUUUUUAUCAACAACCCAAAAAUAUUUUUGCAACAACAUUACUAUAAAAGAAAAUAAAAAUAAAGGAUAAAGGUGUAGUACAUUAACAACAAGAAUGUCAUAAGCUAUUUUUUUUCAAAUCUAAAAAUUAAACGAACACUUAACUCAAAAUAUAAGAACUAAACAAGCAUUCACCCGUUAUAGUUUAGCACUAUUGCAUCUAGGGCCUAAACAACGCUCUGCAUCUCGGUCUCAAUUUAGAUAGUAUAUCAAUCCGGACACAAUUUUGAUUUCUUGAUUUCUUUUUGUACAUCAUAUCCAUAUUUUUGAUACGUAGGAAUGCGCACACUGGAUAAAGACUCCAUAGGUAAACUACACAAUUAAAAAUGAAGCGCACCUGCUGUGACGAGACAGUCUUUAAAUCUGUCAUGGUCAAAUUUGAAGUCCUGCUGUAAAGUUAUCAUCAUCUGUGAGAGGAUCAGUUGGGUUAAUUCACCAUUAUAGAAAAUAUUUACAAGUCUCUAAGACGGCAAAACAUGCUGAGCUACUAAAUCUCAGCACAAUUUUACAAGUUUUAACAAGAGUAAUAUAGGAAAACUGGUGAGUGUGUACCAUUCAAAAUCAAUGUUAUUCCAUUGGGGAAGGACUGUCAUCAACUUUGACAUCAUCCUGUACACUGCCUAGCAUGACAGCGGUCAGCAUUAGCUUGCCAGCAAAUGGAAAAUCCUUAUGCUGCUUCAAUAUCGCUUCUACAGAAGAACUUGAAUCAUUCAAAAUCUGAUCCUCUGAGUCUCCUUCUCGCAGUGGCAACACUUCUUCAAAUCCUUCGUCAAUAGUUUCUGCAUUGGGUCCAUAACACCUAUUUGAUGCUUGGAACAGCAAUGUGUCUCUCAGUUGUUGCAAUGUUUCCUCAUCACUCCAUCCUUCGUCUAUUGAUGCUUGGUAAAGUUGGCCCCAGUCAUCCUGAUUUGCAGCAUUCUUCCAGCAAUCCUCCAGAAGGUGUCUAUGGCUCUUUCGAAAUGAUGAGCUUGUCCAUGCAAACACAUCAAAAGCCAGCAGCGAAAGCUCAGGGUUUUCACUUUUAAGGCAGAGCUCGACUAAUUCCUCUGGGCGAAGGAGUGGUCCUCCAACAUAUUGCUUCACUUCAUCAGCAGCCACAACUUUCAUGAUUUCUUCCUGCAAGAGAUAAAGAAGUUGGGACUUACGGCGAACAAACAUGCUGAUAAAAUAAAUAGGGAAGCAAAAACUUUUAACAGAUGCGUGUCAGGAAAAACUAGCAGAGGAUUGAAAUGGAUUUCAGUGUUUCUCCAUGAACAGUAGUUGUAGAAAAGAACUACGGACAAAACAGUGAUUUUGAAAAUAAACCAUGAAAAGUGAAUUGUAUUCAACAACAUGCCAAUAUUCAUUAAAUGUCCUUAGAUCAAAAGUUUGCAUCAGACCUGCAAUUUUAAAAUUUUCAAAUCAGCUUCGAUGCGGUUUACUUUUGCUCCAGAAUCAGCAUCCUUACCCGCUGGCAUUUACAAAAGGAUUAGUAAGAUAAACACAAAAUUGGUAACAAAUUGCCGAUGUAGACACAAAAGAAAAGAAAGUUAUCUUACAAGCAAAAACAGCAUAUGAAAAUGGAUGGAAUAAUAAUAUUAAUUGCUGAAAUCUUUCAACCAUCUCCCUGGCCUAGAAGUAGAUUGUCAAUUUGUAAUAAAGAGGAUUGUUUUAUCCUGCAGGUCCAAUUCUCAAUAGAUGCAAUAGCAGUUAUUUGUAGAGUUGGUGGUCAAAAAUCAGAUUGUUUAUGAUAUUUACAGCCCAAUAGUACAUAUAGAGCUACCAUACCUGGUGCUACAGGCAGUUUAAAAAAAGUAAGCAUAGAGGUUAAGUCUUUGUGUGGUCACUAGAGUAGUGCCACUGAUUUCAGCCUAUUAUUCAGUUAAAACUUACACCCGUUCAUGUUUGAGACAGAGAUGGACCUUGGUUUCUUGAACAGUUACAUACUGAUGCAAUCGAGCCUUUCCUCCCGCACUCACAUCAAACUUGCUUAACGAUAUGUACAAAAUGGCCUCACAUUUAAGAAAUUUAAAACUUGAUCAAUUUAACCAAAAUAGAACAAGAUGAGGCCAACAUAUACAUACAGAGAAUUAAAGAGUAGUCUUACCAGCGAUGACAGCUAUCUUUGCAAGGUUCAACAGGCGCUUUCUGUCCGCCAAUGUUGGUUCAUGAAUCACAUGGUCAGCGGCUUCCCCAUCUUCAGCUGAUGAAAUAGAGCUCUCAUUUUCAGAGAGAGCUAAAACAUGAAGAGUUUCUGAUGCUGAGGAAAACUGAUGAAGAAACAUUUCAUGAAGCCAAAGAAGAUGACGGUGAUACUUCAGAAAAACAGAUAGCUCUUCUUGGAACUCCUCACCAAGCCUUAAAAUCUUGGAAAAUUGCCUCUUCUCAUAUAGUUCUUUAAAUACAAACUGACAGAAGCCUCCCUUAGGCCCCAUGCUCUCAUGCUGUGUAAUAAAUCAUUUACGUUAUAACCACAUAAGCCUCGAUUAAGAUAAGGAAACACCAAAGUUAAAACUUGCAUCAAUGAUAUCUACAAAGUAAAGAAAAGGAAAUAUAAACUGACACAGUUGUGUAAGGUUUGCUGAUAUGACAACCAAAACAAUAAGAAAAGACAAUAUUUACAAAGUACGUAGUUCUGCACAUGUAUCAAUGCAUGAAAACCUAUAAGAAUGAGAAAAUAUCCAUCCGCCAUAUGAUACCAUCCAAACUCCAACACAUGAUACCAAGUUCACUUACAUAUUAUUAAUUAUUUUUAAGAAGUAGAGGGCAACUUCUUAACAGAUAAUCAUGCCAUAAAUCAUGGACAAAUGAUAGAUGAGAAAAUUUCUCUUUCUCACACAAGAACGAUCACUGCAGAUGCUCUAGAAAAUGGACUAAAAGAAAUAGAAAGCAUGCAAGAGUGAACAAACACAUCAUACCAUAAGAUUUCUCAGCAUUUCUGAAUCAUUAAGGUCACAACAUAUUUUCCACAUAGUUUUGUAGCCUUCAUGCCGUUUUGCAAUAGACAGCAAACUUGAAGAAAGCUUUCUGAGCAUUUCUACAUCUUUAUCUUCAACAAUUUCAUCCAAAUCCUGGAAAAACAAUCAGUUUAAGAAUGCAUAAAUAUCCACCAGCAGGUUUAAAACAAGGAAAAAAAUGACCUGAAAAUGUGUUGACCUGGUAACGAAAUCCCAAAGAGCCUCUGACUUGUUGAUAAAGGGAGUCAAGAAGUGAAUCCCGUCUAUUCCAAUACUCAUUCAACAGACCUUUGUGCUCUUCUCCACGCUCAACUGUUGCUGUGAUAGCCCCACUAUAUGCUUCCAGUAAAACUUCACAGAGUGCUUCUAGAUGAGCACACACAUCUGAUUUUGCAGACAUAUCAAGUCCAGGACUUUCGUUUAGCAGCUGGAGAAUGAAAGCAGCAAUGCUCCACAGCCCAUUACGUACAACAUAUUGAGAAGACCAAGGUGUUAAACCUUCAGGUGGUGGAUACCACAUGCGAUGCUCAUUUCUAUAGUGCAUGGCCGUGCGAACUAUAGUAACACAUACAUUUGAGAGUUCACAUGUUCUCUGGAUCUGAACCCCAUGUGGCUGUUCUACACUAAUUACAUACUGCAGUUGUUUGUCUAAGCAAUAAAAUACCUCUUCAAGAUCAGAAACCUUACUGUAGAAGACUUCAGCAUUGUCUCUGUCCAUCAGAAGCACAGUAUUACGGCGAGCUCUUUCACCAACUACUUGAAUAAGAUCCCACAGGGCACCUGAAAUUUGAAUCUCUGUACGGUUCUGGCUAAUCAUACUUUGCAGUUCCCUGAGUUGAAUCAUUCCAGCAAGCUUUUCACCAUGCUCCAAGAUGAUUUGCAAAGAAUGUCCUGUUAGCACGAAAAACAAAUUUACUCAUCUUGAAACACCUUAAGUUUUUUUUCCCCUAAAAAAAAGUGUAAUCAUGCAAUGUCAUGAAUUGUUACAUGUUCUGCAAGAAAUUUAAGGGGACGCAGAUGGAAGAUCUCUUCCAUUUUCACAAAAUAACAGUAACAAGAUUUCAUGCUCUGACACACUUCAUGUAAGGUGGGAAAAAAAAUUCCAAAUCUGAAUAAGCACUGCAAGUCAAAUGGCAGUAGAUCGUACUCUGUCUAGCACAUAACUCCUCAUGACACUUGGACAAAGCUAGAAACUGCAGAAACUUUUCAUGCUUCUGCUGCUUAUCCUUGAGCUGACUGGAUACCAUUGACAAAAUCUCAGCACCUCUAGUUGUUGUCCAGUGUUUAGCCAAGGUGGCCACAAUGGCUUUGCUAGUCCGGACAAAAACACUUGUUUCUCCAUCUCUUUCAAAUGCCCCAGAGUUUUGAAGCUUUUCAAAUGAACCAUCAACCUGCCCAGAUAACAGAAAAUCAUGAAAAAGAUGACCAAGUAAGGCCUCUGAUUCUUCAUCUUGGGCUGAUCGACGUGCAACCCCAGUUGAAACAGCCUUUUGUCUAUCUCUAGCAUCCCAAGCAUCAGAGCUAACUCUUCUAGGACCUGCCAACAUAAAGUUUCUUCUCUCUUCAGGUACUGAUCCUUCAUUGGAGCUUCCUUUCCGUGACAAGCUUCGCUCAGGUGGUUCAACUCCACCAAUUACAACAGCCUUUUCUGGUAUUGCCCAUAUUCCCGCUUUCUCGGUUAGCACAACCCAUGCACCAUCUUCACCAUCAUCUGAUGAAGGAAGAACUGAAGCAUCAAGAACUUUUCCGGCAUCAUAAGGCAGGUCAAACUGAUAUAGUCGAGUAGAGUUCCUAUAAUAAUGCGAGACUGUUGCUGUUCCGUCACCAGAAAGUAUGAUUGCUGAUCCUGGAGGCUUUCCCCCGACCCUAAGCCUCAUUGAGAAUAAGAAGUCCUCCUCUUCUACUCUUGCCUUUGGAAUUAUCACUUGGAUAGGAGCUUUUUUCUCUAAGACUCUUUCAUGAAUAUCAGAGUAGAUGUUUACCCCAGAUUUAUAUUGCAUGGCCAGCAGAGAAUACUGUGUGUAACUUGAACUGCUGACACGAUCCUUACAGAAAGUGGCAACAAGAAUCGUAAUCACUUUACCGUGAUUGUCUACUUGCACAUCCAGAGGCCAGAUUCUCUUCUGACCAGCCAAAUCCUUUUUUAUACCCAAAUCACCAUCGGUGCCAACGAUUUCAUGAGACCAGAGCUUUGACACAUUCAAGUCAGGGAAAAGUUUAAUAUUGAAGCACUGUAUCUCAUGAUCAGUCAGCAACAAGAACUGCCAGUUGGGUUCCUUAGAAGAAGACAGAGAGUAACCCCAGGUUAGUGACCUUGGAUAACCCUUGCUCCCUGCAAGUUGCCCACCAUCACUGCUCUGAGAUGAUGCACCAGCCAACUCAUGAUAUACUUUGCUACGGUGGAUACCAGCAGGGCUGCAGUAAAACAGCCAAAGCUCACCACUUGAACUACUUGUUAGGGCAACACAAGACUGUUGAGUACCAGGAACCGCAGAAGCAAUCAUGGAGUUAAAAGUACCUGAUACAAUCAAACUACUCCUGACCCUGUUCCCAUGCCACUGACCAUUAGGGGUAGUCUUCCCAUCAACAGGCGAAGAAGUAACCUCUGAUUCAUCAGAUGAUACAAGACUGAUAACCGGAUUAUUUACACUUUCACGAAUAUUAGGCCAGAAUACAAGAGCUCCGGUUUUUUGGUUACACAAUACAAUUCCAGCAGAGUUCCAAUGUCGUGCAACUUUAUUUGUUGGCACUGAGGUGCUAUCCCAAUUAACAACACUAAGCAACCAAUGACUACCAUGAUAAGAAUUUCUACCAGUAUGUCCCUGAUCCAAAACAUUCGAAGGGAUCUCCAGAGCAACGCAAUUGUUUAACGCUGCAGACGACAAGUAAUUCCAAAUAAAGAGUCUGCUUCCACAGAUAAUCCAGGAAAGACACAUUUCCCUAUCUAUUCCACCAGAUAUACAAGCAUCACCUGCCAAAAAAGAAAUUAAAAGAGUUUGUAAUAAUCUUCUCCAAAUAAAUAGUAGCAAAGAGAGACUUGUCACUGGAGCCAAUUGAACUGACCAGGAAUGUGCUUGCGAAGAAUGCUGGUCUGUUCAUCACGAACGACUUGGGGAAACUCUCCAAUAAAUACAGGCUUAAUAGGAUCUACCACAUCGCCUUUCUCACUUUUGCCUGCAGGUGGAAUUCUAGGGACCAAAAAAGAAAAUGAAAAAAAAAAAAAAACAUCACAAAGUAUUAAAAACUAGCCCCAAAACAUAUGUUACACCAGAGAUAUGUUAGGAACUGAGGUUUUGUCACUUUUAAUCCACAACUCCUGUAGAACGAAAUCACUAACUAUCAAAUAUAAGUAGGUGCUUGCCAACUAAAAACAUAUAAAUGUUUACCAAACACUUUCAACUGAUAGAAGCUAAGUAGAAAUACAACAGUUACAAACAUAACAUUUAACUGUCCUAAGCUUAGGCUUAAAGUUGUGACAGUAUUUAGCAAAAUGUUUAUUGGUUGGCUAUCCCCGCUUAUACUUGACGGUUAGUGAUUUCAUUCCACAACAACUUCAUUAAAAGUUGCAUCACCUCAGACAAUCGUAUAAACAAUAAAUGGUACGAACAUUAACUAACAUUACUCGGAAAUUUAGCAUAAAAAAUAACGAAACGGAAAAUUAAAAUUGAAACAAAAAUGGGAGCAAUUUACAUUUCUAGUGGUGAAAUGCAAUGACGAUACCUGGCGAGAACAGAUAAGCGUGGAGCCCAAGGAGCAGGAGUGCCGGUGCUGGGCCGGUUGGCGAUCGAAGUGAUGUCGUGUUGAGAUUUACGAUUCUCGGCGAGUGGAGUUACCGGUGAAUGUGAAUCCACUUGAUUUCGCUCUUUUCGCCGGCUCAAAUUUGCUCUCUUUGUUCCUGGAGAGAACAUUUUAUUAUUUUAUUAUUGUUAUUAUUAUUAUUUUUUGGCUUCUUGAGGUUUAGGGUUUAUGUGUUGUUUUGCCAGUGAGUAGUAAGCACGACAGCACGAGCCAGCCACUGACUCUGAAUGCGAAUAGCGAAGUGGGAGGAAAUUUGAAUUGCAUUUGAUUGUGAGAGAGAGAGAGAGAGAGAGUAGAGAUCCACUGAGAUCGAGCUCAGGCGAUGAGUGGUGGAUUGCACUUUUAAGCCCAAGCCUUAGCCGCUCGAUUAAAUGUGGAUCUUAUGUAAUUAGCUUUAAACGCCUCUUUUUUUUUUCUUUUUCUUUUUUCUCUCUUCCUUUUUAAAGCUUUCUUGUACGUUGUAGGACUUAAAAAAUAAUCGAAUUUUGCUCAUCACAGUUAAUGAAUGAAUAAUGAUCAUUUACUUUCUGGGAAUCAAAUAUAUAUUUUUAAUUUUAUAAAUACAAAUAUACAAUUGUUAUUUUAGGGGGUGAAAAAAAAGGGCUUUGGAAAUUUAUUUCAAGCCUACUAAAAACGAUAGAAACAGCGUACACUUUUUUGCGGUCAAAUUUCUGGAGAUAAGAAAAAGCAUCAAAUUGAUUUCCUGAAACAUGUUGUGGCCAGCGGCAUCAUAAACAUUCCCUUUACAGCAACAUGAAAUAUAUGACGCUACUUCAAAGAUAGAGUAGAAGUACUUGUUAUUAUUUUGAAUCCGGAAAAUACUACAUAUCAUGAGCCCUAAACAAAUGACAAAAUUAAUCUCAGUCAAGCAGCUGAUAAAAAUAUUUCAUGAGAGGAAAGUACAAGCUAUAACCGUUCUGCAUGUGAAUUUCUUCACGAGUGAUCCAAACUAUUAGCAUUUCUUUAUAUGACAUUGAUUGUAUUUUGCUCACAGAUAUGAGACAAUUGAUACAACCACCAAAUCAACGAGACCAGAACAUAUAAAAGGGCUUUUGUAUUCGUGCUUUAAGUAAGAGAGUUCUCCAAAGAAGAACUAUAGACAACACCUUGCCAGAUUUAAGACAAACAUUGAGUUUUUGUUUCCUACUCUGUUUCCUAAACAAAAACAAAACUAGAUAUACAUACACAUAAGGCAGAUUUUGUAUCAUGGUUCCAGCUUCAAGGAAACAACUCGCGACUGUCUGUUUCGCUUUGCCACCUUCACAAAUACUACAGAGAGGCAAGACGGAGCCCACCAAGGCCGGCGAACUUUUUGCUCCCCUUUUAGACAAGCCACUAAAAAUGUAUUUGGGUGUCAACAAUGAUAAUGUAAAAUGCCCAAAAUACAAUAACAAAUGAGAGAAAAGCUAUCUAGUUAACAAGUACACAAGAUGAUAGUCUUCUGCGCAAACAAACAUGAUCAAAACAUUAAAAUUUAUAGAAGAAAGUAUGGCACUACUCUCUCCAAUAUCGCAUAAAUCCAACUUCAUUUCAUUCAAGAAAGGCAAUCUUUUUCUCAACUAUUCUCUAUCAUUUGUUCAAACAGCUUGAAUUGAUAUGAACAUAUUUUAUAAAUUACUUGUUACCAAUGUAAUGACCAUAAGACUCAUCACUAGCCAAAAAUAGCCCCUAUUUCAAAUAAUCUAAUAUGCAAGUUGAUUAAACAUUCUCUCAAACAUAAUGUUAACUUCAUAUGCAUAAUUGGCCAGAACUUUUUCCACAGGAAGAAAGACAGAGAGAGAGAGAGAGAGGGCAACCU
RNAcentral lists this long non-coding RNA (14654 nucleotides) under Citrus x clementina. Its description in RNAcentral is "Citrus clementina (C. clementina) long non-coding RNA (CCLE_LNC005531)". The record is from RNAcentral. Lineage: Eukaryota; Viridiplantae; Streptophyta; Magnoliopsida; Sapindales; Rutaceae.